RNAcentral lists this ribosomal RNA (358 nucleotides) under uncultured bacterium. RNAcentral's name for it is "partial 16S ribosomal RNA". It matches the Rfam family "Bacterial small subunit ribosomal RNA", at positions 338 to 689 of the family's 1533-position model. The record is from RNAcentral.
CCUACGGGUGGCAGCAGUGGGGAAUAUUGCGCAAUGGGCGAAAGCCUGACGCAGCGACGCCGCGUGAGGGAUGAAGGUCUUCGGAUCGUAAACCUCUGUCAGCAGGGAAGAACGGUCACUGUGCUAAUCAGCAGUGAAUUGACGGUACCUGCAAAGGAAGCACCGGCUAACUCCGUGCCAGCAGCCGCGGUAAUACGGAGGGUGCGAGCGUUAAUCGGAAUUACUGGGCGUAAGGCGCUCGUAGGCGGUAUGUCAAGUCAAGGGUGAAAUCCCCGCGCUCAACGUGGGAACUGCCUUUGAAACGGGCAACUGGAGGGGGGGAGAGGGAAGGGGAAAUCCAGGGGGAGGAGGGAAAUCC